RNAcentral lists this non-coding RNA (24 nucleotides) under Arabidopsis thaliana (thale cress). The record is from RNAcentral. Lineage: Eukaryota; Viridiplantae; Streptophyta; Magnoliopsida; Brassicales; Brassicaceae.
GUACUGUACAAAAUAAAGGAAUCA